Long non-coding RNA from Cynoglossus semilaevis (tongue sole), 1559 nucleotides. RefSeq lists it as uncharacterized. The record is from RefSeq and is a predicted model, not a curated record. NCBI's taxonomy places the organism in Eukaryota, Metazoa, Chordata, Actinopteri, Pleuronectiformes, Cynoglossidae. The transcript is spliced from 2 exons.
AUUCACUUGGCUUGCAUUUUAAGCCACAUCAAAGAGUUCUUGAUGGGGGGCGCGGGGGGUUGCAAUUUUAGAGGUGUAUAGGUCCUGUAGAGAAGGUAGGUAAAAGCCAAUUACCUUCUCGGCAAAGCGAUGAUACAAUGCAGUCUGUUCAGGUUCCUCGUGGUGGCAGCAGCAUACCAGUCUAAGAUAGAGGCGUGAGGAUAGAAUCGAUUAUGGAGGUGUAGAAGUUCACCAUCAUUCUCUUUGUCAUUUUUACCCAGGUCAGCUGCCUCAGGAAGUGCAUCCUCUGCUGUGCUGCUUUUGAUGAAGAAGAUGAUGUUCAGCUCCCAUUCCAGGUCCUGAGUGAUGAUGGUUCCCAGGAAGCAUAAGUGUUCAUCCACAGUGGAAUCACCCAAAGUAAUGGUUUUUGGAGUUUUUAGCAGAAAUUUGGAAGACUUUUUGUGUCUGAUAGACACAGUGGCGAAUCUUCAUAUAUGAUUUUUGUCUGAAAAUCCAAGGUGCAGCAUUUUGAAGACUCAGUUCUUCAAACUCCAGCCUUUUUGGAUUGGCAAGAGAAGAAAGUCUGAUCAAGAAAGGUGGUUCUUGUUCACUAUGAUAGUGAACUGUUCCUUGGCACCAUUACACAGAUUGCCGAUGGCCAAUACGAAGUACACACACUGUGCCGGCCUAAACCAGUUUUUCCAUUCCGUCAGUCUGCUAUGAGGGAGAAAAGGUGUGGCACUACUGUGAGGACAUUAAGGCCAGGAUCCCAGAGCCACAACCUACAACGUCGGCGGAAAUCUGGGCAAAAUUCACUGAUGAGUAGGUAGGAACCAUUUGCUUUGCAUUUAUUUUUCACAUAAUAUUUUGAUUGUGUUUAAAAAAUAGAAAAAUUAUGUGCAUCGCAUGCUUUAACGUUUACCAAAUCAUUUAAAAAGAUGUUACAUGUUAUUGUAGAGUUUCACAUAAUUAUGUGCGACAAUUAAUCCGUUUUGAAAAAUUUAAAAAAUGGUUCUUGAUGGUUUCAGACCAUUGCGGUAAUGAGAUUUUUUAAAACAUGUUCAAAGCUGUUCAAAAGGGUAUUAAAUUGUCAGUAAAUAUUUUAAAAACAACAAUCAUUACCACUGCAGACUGAAAUUAAUGGUUAAAAGGAGCAUGUGUUGAUCCAGUUCAAGGUUGAAGAGUUACGUUAGGCAACUGGACAUUAAAAAAAUUCCAUGUCUCCAAUCUUUGAAACCAAGCUUUCAUGAUAAUGACCACAAUGACCCAUCAUGUGAUAUAUAUGUAUACAUACAUACAAAUAUGUAUUCAUACGCAUAUAUAUACAUAUAUGUAUACAUGUAUUAGUAUAUACAUAUAUAUAGACAUUGUAAAUUGGACCUGAUCUAACAGGUCUGUUUACAGCCAUGAAACACCAAAUCAGUGAUGUUUUUGUUUCUUUAUUGAAAAACACACAUCUACAUAAAAAAUGUGUAAUAAACAGGGGAAAGUAAUCAUUGUUUUUUUUUUUGUUUUGUUUUUUAAACAUGGCAGAUAUUUACUGUGCUGUACGACAAUCUGGUCUCAGCCUCUUGAAAAAC